Molecule: ribosomal RNA, 472 nt
Filed under: uncultured Bifidobacterium sp.
Lineage: Bacteria; Bacillati; Actinomycetota; Actinomycetes; Bifidobacteriales; Bifidobacteriaceae
Description: bacterial SSU rRNA
Rfam family: Bacterial small subunit ribosomal RNA
Source: RNAcentral
CCCUUCGGGGCGGGUUCACAAGUGGUGCAUGGUCGUCGUCAGCUCGUGUCGUGAGAUGUUGGGUCAAGUCCCGCAACGAGCGCAACCCUCGCCCCGUGUUGCCAGCGCGUCAUGGCGGGAACUCACGGGGGACCGCCGGGGUUAACCCGGAGGAAGGUGGGGAUGACGUCAGAUCAUCAUGCCCCUUACGUCCAGGGCUUCACGCAUGCUACAAUGGCCGGUACAGCGGGAUGCGACAUGGCGACAUGGAGCGGAUCCCUGAAAACCGGUCUCAGUUCGGAUCGGAGCCUGCAACCCGGCUCCGUGAAGGCGGAGUCGCUAGUAAUCGCGGAUCAGCAACGCCGCGGUGAAUGCGUUCCCGGGCCUUGUACACACCGCCCGUCAAGUCAUGAAAGUGGGCAGCACCCGAAGCCGGUGGCCUGACCAGUAUUGCUGGGGGGAGCCGUCUAAGGUGAGGCUCGCGAUUGGGACU